UGUAAUUGCCCAUGCUUCCUCUUUGCAGGGACCCGAGAGCAGAUACUAUACAAAGCGAUCGUGCAAGCUAAGAUCCAUCCUGCCCAUGGGCAGACAAAAAGGCAGGUCUUGGGAAAUGUCAGUUUUUCACUCUCUACAGCUCCAAGAAGAUCUACUUAGCACGGCUGGGUAUUCAGAGGAUUACAAUCCUGCCCCACUCCAGUUCGUGAUUUCCAAAAUCUGUUUACAGGGACAUCCAGCCAUUCUCACGACGUGCCCAAGCCAACGUAGACAUCACUGUUUCAGUAAUGUAUACAGGCUGAAAAUUCCAGCUCGUUCUAGGACUACUCUAUUUGGAACUUUGUCCUGCCAGGUGAUACCAAAAAUCAGUCGGAGGCAACGCAUAUGGAAGGUGUUCAGCUUCCUCUCCUGCUGUGCACAAAGGGUCCAGCCCUCACUGCAGUGCAGGAGUGUGCUCAGGACACAGGCUCUAUAGACUUGGAUCUUGGUAUGUGCCAUCAGCACAUGGAUCUCCUGUAUGGAGAAUUAGUGCAGGGAAAUAGCCCCAGAGGGAGACCACAGCUGUGAUACAAGGACAUCUGCAAGCGGGAUCUGAAGGCCUUAGUAAUAGACCUCAACAGAUGGGAAACUCUGACAUCUGAGCAUUCAGCCUAGAGGCAGGCGUUGCAUCAUGGCCUCUCCCAAUUUGAAGAGACCCUUGUCCAGCAGGCCGAGGCAAAGAGGCAGUCCCGAAACCUGCAAAGUUAGGGAGCUGGACAGGGGACAGAUUGGAUUUGUCUUCAGUGUGGAAGAGAUUGUCACUCUCGAAUUGGCCUCCUCAGCCACACUAGAUGCUGUCCUCCAUAAAGGGCGCAAUACCAUAGUCUCUCGAGACUGAAGGAUGCCUACUUACAGGGACAUAGAAAGGUCAGGUCAACUCUAGACUGACUGGGCACAGAAUUAACUAACAUGUACGUGGGACACUCACUGUUGAAAUUCAUGUCUGGUUUGCUUGUUUGUUUUUGUUUGCUCAGUUGAUUUUUCCUCCUGCAUCCAUUGGAGAAUGUGAGAACUCUGGUUGAAAAGUGCAACUCAAUAAACUUGAACCACACUUUUCA
This 1097-nucleotide long non-coding RNA is filed under the name Pogona vitticeps (central bearded dragon). RNAcentral describes it as "lncRNA (ENSPVIG00000020780.1)". Lineage: Eukaryota; Metazoa; Chordata; Lepidosauria; Squamata; Agamidae. The record is from RNAcentral.